Long non-coding RNA from Cephus cinctus (wheat stem sawfly), 1830 nucleotides. RefSeq lists it as uncharacterized. The record is from RefSeq and is a predicted model, not a curated record. Lineage: Eukaryota; Metazoa; Arthropoda; Insecta; Hymenoptera; Cephidae. The transcript has 6 exons.
CAUAUAAUCGAUAACAAUGGAAUUUUAUGGAAUUAUUAGUGGUUUGGUCAACUAAGAAAAAAGACGUGUAAUAAAUCGUUAUGGUCGCUUCGAUCGAAAUUCCAAUGCUUUUUGGCUUCAUUGAAACUACUACAAAGGCCAGUGUCGAUGAUCUGUGAGAAUUGCAGUUGAUAAAUGAUGUCAGAGAAGAACUAAAUUAACGAUCAAGGACACACCUGUGAAAGUAUCUACAAGAUUAAAGUGAAGUUUAAAGAAAAGGAAACUUAUCGUUAUAAAGAUAAUAUAUCAAUCUUUAAUAUAAAUCAGGUGAAAGCUAUCGGUUGACGUUUUUACUACACACGAAAAAGUUGAACUAAAGUGACGCAUUACAGAGAGCAAUUUUUCUACAUACUUCAAAUCUUCGUUUGAAGCCUCGACAUGAACGUAACAGAUAAAGGAUCGAUAUAGUGAUACUACGUAUAAACGAAUUCACAAACAUACAAAGAGAUGUUUUUGUGGCAUGCAAAGUGAUAGGAAGAGGUAGAGAACAAUUUUACCAGAGACGACCGACUGCUGCAGCGUAUAUUGCAUCCCACAGUGUAGUGCCGUACUCAGUGUCAACGGAAUACAUGAAUUGAAUGAGGUAUUGACCGAUGACAUAAGGGGAUGCGAAAGCAACAAAAGUGAUGAUAUAGAAGUGCCAGAGAGGGAAGUGAAGAAAUGGAUGUAAACAAAAAGAAAGAAGAACAGUACGUAAGAAAAUAGUAUUAGUAUAGUUAGUCUUGCGGCCAUAGCGCCUAUCCCUCCAUAUAAUAUUCCCCUAUGCUAUUUUUUUUUUUUUUUUGGUGAACGCUUGAAGAUCUCCAUUCAUUCUGCGCGAGUACUCACUUGGGAAGUUGCGUUCAUCACCGUUCUGUAACGGUGUUAUUACUGUAAUAGGUAAUAAAGAUACUCGUCGAGAUUCACUGGACGAUAGAAAUACAGAACAGACGUCCAUUUAAGGAUUCAUGUUGCUGUCAUUAGGCACAGCACACACUCGGUGGAAUGGAACGGACUGCAGCAGCGCGUACAAAUCCCUAAGGGAAACGCAAAGGACUUUUGAUAUCAUGCUACAGCUACAGCCAGGUCCUAGGAAUCGUUUGCCUUGUAGCGACGGAGUUGGUGAUCGUGAUGGGUGAUGAAGGGUGAUGACGUUGGUCAGGUUGGCAAGCCUUACAUGAAUCAGGAUGUGGCUUCUCCUCGGCCACCAUCAGGGCUGCGCUCUCAGCUGGCGAGAACGGGAGGAAGUGUCAAGGGUCCGUCAACGUUUGAUCACUAGUCAAAGAUGUACCCGUUCUUCGUCACGUCCUUCUCAAUCGAGUCGAUCCUCCCGUCUCUUUUGUAUUAAAAAGAAAGUCCUGAGCGCCAUUGUGUCACGAUGAACCUUUUGCUAUUAUAACCCUAAGCACAUGCUAGGUAGACUUACAACGUCAGGGCGUCACGUAACCGCAAAUCAUCCCGUAUAUCAUCGUUCACCCAGUAUCUGAUAGAAUGAUCAAGUGGUCUGAUAUAAUGGACAGUGUUUCAAGUACAGGGUGAUUCUAUCUGGAUGACUCUUAUGCAUGGAAUUCUAAUCGAUACCACUGUACAGGUAUGAGCAAUAUACUUUUCACAGAGUUUUCAUUAAAAAUAUAUUUUAAUUAUAAGUGUAUAAUCUAUGAUAAAUAAUCUAUCAUAAAACUCACUGCUCUACCUAAUCUUAAGUAAGCAAAGAAUCAGUAACGAAUUGAAAUAUUGUACGACGAACUUAAUGAGAAUCGUCGUCGAGCGUCAAGCAGGAUUAACAAACGAAUCGGGUGAAUGUUUCGGCAA